AUGAUGUAGAUUGGCCUUUGGGGUAAUGAUGCCCGGGACCGGUGGAGGCUGA
RNAcentral lists this small nucleolar RNA (52 nucleotides) under Pyrococcus horikoshii OT3. RNAcentral's name for it is "PHOsR61". Lineage: Archaea; Methanobacteriati; Methanobacteriota; Thermococci; Thermococcales; Thermococcaceae. The record is from RNAcentral.